Microcebus murinus (gray mouse lemur) is the source of this 1146-nucleotide non-coding RNA. The record is from RefSeq and is a predicted model, not a curated record. NCBI's taxonomy places the organism in Eukaryota, Metazoa, Chordata, Mammalia, Primates, Cheirogaleidae.
GUUCGUUAGCUUACUCCUUUCUGUCCGUGGACGCUGUCGAGGAAGCAUCGUUGAAGUCUCUCUUCCCACUGCCGUCAUGUCUAAGUCAGAGUCUCCUAAAGAACCCGAACAGCUGCGGAAGCUAUUCAUCGGAGGAUUGAGCUUUGAAACAACCGAUGAGAGUCUGAGGAGCCAUUUUGAGCAAGUGGGAACGCUCACCAGACUGUGUGGUAAUGAGAGAUCCAAACACCAAGCGCUCCAGGGCUUGGGUUUGUCACGUAGCCACUGUGGAGGAGGUGGAUGCAGCAAUGAAUGCACGGCCACAACAAGGUGGAUGGAAGAGUUGUGGAACCAAAGAGAGCUGUCUCCAGAGAAGAUUCUCAAAGACCAGGUGCCCACUUAAGUGUGAAAAAGAUCUUUGUUGGUGCAUUAAGAAGACACGGAAGAACAUCACCUAAGAGACUAUUUUGAACAGUAUGGAAAAUUGAAGUGAUUGAAAUCAUGACUGACAGAGGCAGUGGCAAGAAGAGGGCUUUGCUUUGUAACCUUUGAUGACCAUGAUUCUGUGGAUAGAAUUGUCAUUCAGAAAUACCAUACUGUGAAUGGCCACAACUGUGAAGUAAGAAAGCCCUGUCAAAGCAAGAGUGGUAGUGCUUCAUCCAGCCAAAGAGGUCGAAGGGUUCUGGAACUUUGGUGGUGGUCGUGGAGGUGGUUUUGGUGGGAAUGACAUUUGGCCAUGGAGGAAACUUCAGUGGUCGAGGUGGCUUUGGUGGCAGCCGUGGUGUGUGGAUAUGGUGCAGUGGGGAUGGGUACAAUGGAUUUGGUAAUGAUGGAAGCAAUUUUGGAGGUGGUGGAAGCUACAAUGGAUUUGGUAAUGAUGGAAGCAAUUUGGAGUGGUGGAAGCUACAUGAUUUUGGCAAUUACAACAUCAGUCUCAAAUUUUUGGACCACAUGAAGGGAGGAAAUUUUGGAGGCAGAAGCCUCUGGCCCUUAUGGUGGUGGAGGCAAUACUUUGCCAAACCACGAAACAAGGUGGCUAUGGUGGUUCCAGUAGCAGCAGUAGCCUAUGGCAGUGCAGAAGGUUUUAAUUAUCCCAGGAAACAAAGCUUAGCAGGAGAGGAGAGCCAGAGAAGUGACAGGGAACUACAGGUUACAACAGAUUUGUGA